GACGAACGCUGGCGGCGUGCCUAAUACAUGCAAGUCGAGCGCAGGAAAUCGACGGAACCCUUCGGGGGGAAGUCGAUGGAAUGAGCGGCGGACGGGUGAGUAACACGUAAAGAACCUGCCCUCAGGUCUGGGAUAACCACGAGAAAUCGGGGCUAAUACCGGAUGGGUCAUCGGACCGCAUGGUCCGAGGAUGAAAGGCGCUUCGGCGUCGCCUGGGGAUGGCUUUGCGGUGCAUUAGCUAGUUGGUGGGGUAAUGGCCCACCAAGGCGACGACGCAUAGCCGACCUGAGAGGGUGAUCGGCCACACUGGGACUGAGACACGGCCCAGACUCCUACGGGAGGCAGCAGUAGGGAAUCUUCCACAAUGGACGAAAGUCUGAUGGAGCAACGCCGCGUGAACGGUGAAGGCCUUCGGGUCGUAAAGUUCUGUUGUAAGGGAAGAACAAGUGCCGCAGGCAAUGGCGGCACCUUGACGGUACCUUGCGAGAAAGCCACGGCUAACUACGUGCCAGCCGCCGCCGUAA
Molecule: ribosomal RNA, 524 nt
Filed under: uncultured bacterium
Lineage: Bacteria
Description: partial 16S ribosomal RNA
Rfam family: Bacterial small subunit ribosomal RNA
Source: RNAcentral